GUUCGUAUGAUUUGGGAUAAUUUUCGCGUUUGAUCCCUAACUUAUUAUUUUAAUUCGGACCGUCUCUAUAGUUUGAUUUUGUUAUGUUAUUGAUCCCUAACCGACUUAAAAUGAAAGAUAUAUGCUUAUAUAUUAUUUUAAUUGUUUUUUUUUGUUAACUUAUUAAAUAAAAUUAUAAAAGAAUUUUUUUAUUAGAUGUGGGCCCUACAAUACCUAAAGAAUGAAGAGGAAAACUAAACCACUAGACCAACUUCAUCCUCUCACCCUUCAUCCUUCUCCUCUCUCUCCGACGCCACCUCCCCUGUGCCACUGAAAUCGCUGCCGAUGACGAAAACCUUCACACUGUUGUCUGGUGAUUGUGUUUAAGGAAAUAUCUUGCUCACUCCUCCUUCCGAUCAUCUUCACUCUUUUACCCUAAAUCAUGGAACCAUUAUCUGUCGUCCUUCUCCUCUUAACCGGUGACACCCACAACCCACCUCAGUUCCAUGACACUGGAGCCAACAAGAAGAAGCAACCUACUACGCGAGACCCGACAUCCUGUGACCAAAUUAACCAACGAUUUCUGGAUUUUGAUUUCUUCAUCACAGGUUUAAUCUAAGGUUUGAAAUGUCAAACGGAAUCAAUGUCGAAUCAUUCCAGGGUGGAGGAUGGAGAACACUGGAAGCUUCAAGUUAGACACCUCCGAUCCACCAAAAUAAGAAAACUGUGGCGAAAACAUUGGAUGCAGUUGCAUUGAAUUUUUGAGUGAUCUAUGUGGUACUGAAUCUGUGGCCGGGGAUGAUGACCGGAGUUGCUGCCGGGAAUUGGAUCUAUGACCGGAGAUAGUGACCGGAUGUGAUGUGGGGAACAAGAAGAGGAUUAAGGUGGGGCUAGACCGGUGGGUCCCGUUUUCAACAAUAUAUUAAUAGUUUAAAUUAUUUAAAAAUAGUUGAAAUAAUAAAAAAGGAUUAACAAAAUAAAAAUAUAUCAUUAUGCAAAAAAUAGUCAUUAUAAGUCUGCUAGUGACCAAAGACACAACGAAAUCAAACUACACGGAUGGUCCAAAUUAAAAAAAAUAAGUUAGUGACUAACCAUGCAAAUUACUCCAAACUACAAGGACCAUUCGUGUAAUUUUCUUUGAAAAAAAAUAGAGAUUAUAUAUUUUGUGAAAA
Lactuca sativa (garden lettuce) is the source of this 1151-nucleotide non-coding RNA. The record is from RefSeq and is a predicted model, not a curated record. Lineage: Eukaryota; Viridiplantae; Streptophyta; Magnoliopsida; Asterales; Asteraceae.